UUCUACGUCAAUUAUAGACGGAUUAUAUGAUUGCUCUUUACGUUGAUUAUAGAACAGAUUAUAGCACACGUAACUAAUGAUCACCUUUAUUCGUACCUUUAUGACCUGCCCCGUAAAACCACGGUCCGAGUCGAUGUGGGAUUUAGGUCUAGCAGGCAACUCGGUAACCCUACGCUCUUUCAGGUCGACCACGUCGUCAAAUCCGGGCACCUUUUCCUUCUAUGCCAUCGCUUAUGCACCACGUGUCACAGCAUACACCCGGAAAAGCCAUACCCGCAGGCAGCAGCGCGCACCCAGGCGCCUGCCGAGACAGUGACCCUACCCGUCACGGUACCGUGUCCAGCAAUCAGCUCCCUCGCACCUUUAGGUCUCGGCAGUAGGGUAGCCGAACCCGGGCAGUAACGUCCCAACGAGAACCUAGAGCUCCCUUGCUCCCGCUGCAGCUCCUGCCGGCCGCCGCACCGUCCUACCUCCUCUUGCCGAACCUCAAACACGAGCUAGACCACCAGUCCUAGGGUUGAGCCCUUCUCAAGCGACUAUUGGAACUCGUGGGCCUAGGCCACGGCGACUCCGACGACGGGUCCCCCCCUCCGACCGCGAGAACCGGGCAUACUAAGUUUACCACUUAAACCAACGCGGGACUCCGCGCCGCCUUUUCUCGGCGCAACGGUUGUUUCAGUCGAGUUAGAUAGCCUUUCCAAUUAGCCCUCCGUGGACCUACUACCUGCUUUUCCAAUUCUGAUCCCUCACGUGGCGGCCUGUCUUUAAGCACGCGAAGUACCUACUCGCGUGACCUCGUUAGGUAUGCCUUCAAACGACUCCUUGCCUGCUCCUCACACUAAUUUGGUCUUAAUCCUUGUGCAAGGCUAAGCAACUUGCUCCGUAUGCUGAAGACGUCAGAAAUAAGUACCCUUCAAUCUAAGUCAUUUUUUCGGCUGACUUACGUCUUUCUUGGUUCAGCUACGUCCUCUCUCACACGCCAACAAGCGAUCCAAGACACCAUGCUCUAUGUUACCUUUCGGACUCCGUCUCUUAUCGACUAGUACGUCCACGCUCACGGCUUUCAAAACUUACUCAAAAACGACUCAGGACUCUUACAACCCACCUAGUGGCGGAUGCUGUUAAAACUGACUAGUUUUGUCUCGUCGGCCUAAAACUUGGGAAUGAACGGUUAGUCGGCUUAAAAAGCAUAUCUAAAAAACACUUUUGACAAAAUGGAUUUCUUAUAAAGUUAAUCAAUCGACUUGAUCCCAUUUAACAAGCAUUUAGUCAUGGACGUAUCUAUAACGUAAUCAUCCCUCUUGAUGACAUGACUUAAUCGUGCAAACGUUUAAAAGUGCGAUACGGAACCGUCACGUGGUGGUCUGUCCCGUGGUACACGAAGAUCCUACGAAUUUGACAAAAAACCAACUAGUAACGUUUUUAAUUUACAACAAUAGGACGUUCUUUACCAAGUUCGUGAAGGUAGGUGACGACCGCCACCGUAGGCCUGUCCUGAACUACCUACUCGAGUGAGGACCCCCACUCAAUUGUGACUUAAACACACGUAAGUUGCCUACGGGUCACUCUUUCUCUUCUUUUACAUGGUGCCUACCGAACUGUCUACCUCUCUCUAAAAAAUAGGACAAAAACACCUACUCGAAACAUUCCUUCUGCUGCUUUAUCUGACCCUAAUUUGGUAAGUACAAGGGACACUACAAGUACCUAACGACCAGGAACAUGUAAGAGCUGUGACUCUUCUUCUAACGUUACCAAGAACUAGGUUGUCUCUGUCUAGGUAAUCUACUCUACUUCUCCUUCGUACUCCGCGACCGCUCCUUCAAGGUCGCAUCCAAAAUGUUGGAAAAAUUACUGUUCAAACCUCGUCCGAACCAGCUCUGCUGACCUACCAGUAAACACAUGGGCAACCAACGCGUUGUGCUCGGUACGUGGUCCCUUCUGCCACACCACAUACAGCACGUGAUGUAUGACCUCAAGUGACCGGAAAUGGACUCUAGCUUAUACUUGGUCCUCGUCUAGCUCGUGGAGGCGUUCUUCUAACGUACACUCUAUCACUGCUACUUCCCCUUAUUCCCUACGUAGGGUCUCAAGGACAUGCUCCUCUAGGAGCUGAUUUCACUACUUCAUAAGCAAGUGAGAUGCACGUCGGGCCGUUCUAGAAAACCAACUUAACAGGGCUAAAUCAACGACCCCGUAAAACGUCGUGUUUGUGGACGGUGGAACAUCUACUUUUUGAUACCUGUACAUGACGUAAAAAUCUACCUAAGAAUUCGUCAAAUUCAUUUACAUUCGCGACUAUACUAUACACCUACAUACAAGUAGAGAGUCUUACACGUUACGAUAACCAUGAUCACCAAUAAACUAGGGCACUAAAAGUAUGGUCUUAA
This 2387-nucleotide ribosomal RNA is filed under the name Triticum aestivum (bread wheat). RNAcentral describes it as "partial small subunit ribosomal RNA". Lineage: Eukaryota; Viridiplantae; Streptophyta; Magnoliopsida; Poales; Poaceae. The record is from RNAcentral.